RNAcentral lists this ribosomal RNA (440 nucleotides) under uncultured bacterium. RNAcentral's name for it is "partial 16S ribosomal RNA". It matches the Rfam family "Bacterial small subunit ribosomal RNA", at positions 338 to 795 of the family's 1533-position model. The record is from RNAcentral.
CCUACGGGAGGCAGCAGUAGGGAAUAUUGCUCAAUGGGGGCAACCCUGAAGCAGCAACGCCGCGUGUAGGAUGAAGGUUUUAGGGUUGUAAACUACUUUUGUUAGAGAGGAUUAUGACGGUGUCUAUCGAAUAAGCACUGGCUAACUCCGUCACAGCAGCCGCGGUAAGACGGAGGGUGCGCGCGUUACUCGGAAUCACUGGGCGUAAAGAGUGCGUAGGCGGGGUAAGAAGUCAGAUGUGAAAUCCUGUAGCUUAACUACAGAACUGCAUUUGAAACUGUUACUCUGGAGUGUGGGAGAGGGAGGUAGAAUUCUUGGUGUAGGGGUAAAAUCCGUAGAGAUCAAGAGGAAUACUCAUGGCGAAGGCGACCCGCUGGAACAUGACUGACGCUGAGGUACGAAAGCGUGGGGAGCAAACAGGAUUAGAUACCCGAGUAGUC